This 71-nucleotide transfer RNA is filed under the name Tydemania expeditionis. RNAcentral's name for it is "tRNA-Gly". It matches the Rfam family "tRNA". Rfam says of the family: Transfer RNA (tRNA) molecules are approximately 80 nucleotides in length. The record is from RNAcentral. Lineage: Eukaryota; Viridiplantae; Chlorophyta; Ulvophyceae; Bryopsidales; Halimedaceae.
GCAGCACUGGUGUAAUGGUAGCGCGCUAGUUUGCCAUACUGGUGGUAGGGGUUCAAUUCCCCUGUGCUGCU